Molecule: long non-coding RNA, 1625 nt
Filed under: Homo sapiens (human)
Lineage: Eukaryota; Metazoa; Chordata; Mammalia; Primates; Hominidae
Description: non-protein coding lnc-NDUFAF2-7:4
Source: RNAcentral
GUCUUCUCCGAGACCCGCGGCGCUGGGAGCUCCGCGUGCGAACUUGCCCGGGGCGAAAUCUGUUGCCCACCCUGGUCCCACCGUGCGAGCACACCUAGGCAGAGUGAGCUGUCCACAGGCGCAUACUUGAGCCCACUUGCCCAACUCCUAAGAUCUUAUCGGGAAGCUGCUGAUCAACAGUUCAAGUGUUUUCUAUUAGGAGACUGCCUUUCCCUGGUGCCGGCUGUGACCAACUAUUAUUUUAGAGAGACAAUUAACAACCACCUGACCAUCACCUGAUGGCUGCCUGACAUUCCUGAUGUGUGUGUGUAUGAGGGGGAGCCCUCUCCUGCCCUGCUCAUGCCUGACUAGCUACCUACUGUAACACCUUAACCAGAUUUUCUUUGUCAUGGCUUUUCUUCUCAAAUUUAUCUCUCUUUACCUAAAAAAAUGAAUAAAAGCAUCUUACUUUGGCCACUUCUUCAGACUUCACUCUCUUGUGAAGAUCCCCAUGUGCACAUAAAACUAAUAAAAUGUGUAUACUUUUCUCCUGGUAAUCUUCCUGGUGUCAGUGUGGUUUCUAGAUACAACUGGAGAGCUCAUUAAGAGGUAAAAGGGAGCUUGGAGGUGAUCUCUGGCUCCCCUAUAACAUCAUAAGAAAGAUCUAAGUAAGGGAUUGGACCACCUCUUCUCAUCCUCAAAACCACACCACUACCACCACCCAUUUGCUGCCUUAGGUUUUUAUUUAGCCCAAGAAAUGUCCUGAGAUGAUACAUAUAUAUUGCUUUUGUAAUUAGAAAAAGCAAUUUAAAAUUUUUUUCUUACUUCCAGUAAGUGAAUCCUUAUCAGAACUUUUUUUCUUUUAACCUCUAAGCUCCAUGGAAGAGAUCUUCUUGUCCUUGGCAAGGAAUAUAAAGAGAUACUUGUGUCCUUGACACAAGAAGCAGGAGAAAGGGAAUUUUAAAGCCUUGUCUGAGACCUGCCACCACCUAUCAUGGUGGUGAAACUAGAAUCUGAUACAAAACAUUAUGUCCAGCAUUAUGCAGCUUUCUAGUUCGGUAAGUAUCACAGACUGUGAAAUUCCAUAGAUCUGGAUUUCAAUAAUGACUGGUACUGCUUACCAGUGGAGUGACUUCAAGCUAAUUAUUUAAUUUCCAUCUACUCACUGGUAAACUGGGAAUAUUAAUGAUUAUCUUGCAGAGUUGUAAGGAUGUAUGUAAAGUGCUAAAUAUAGUGCCCAGCAUGUAUUUAAAGUGCCCAGCAUAUAGCAGUAAUAAAAAGAACUAUAUAUUUUUUUAAAAAAAUCAUGCCAGCUUCUUGAGCAUUUCCCAAGAGCCUGUUAUUAGCCAUAGACAAGAUGGCUGUUACUAGAAAGGCAUACUUCCAAAGGAUCUACAUAUCAGAAGACACAAAGAGUCAUUGCACGGGCCAGGGACAUCUCCCCAACGCUGGACAAUGCUGUGCAGCACCCUUCCCAGACUUCUGCACUCACGCAACACAAACACACACACUAUUUCUCUACAAAAGGGUCAAUAAAAUGGUGUCAUCCAGCGAUGCCUCAUGCCUAUAAUCCCAGUACUUUGGGAGACCAAGGCAGGUGGAUCACUUGAGCCCAGGAGUUCAAGACCAGCCUGGGCAACAUGGCA